Poecilia reticulata (guppy) is the source of this 822-nucleotide non-coding RNA. Lineage: Eukaryota; Metazoa; Chordata; Actinopteri; Cyprinodontiformes; Poeciliidae. The record is from RefSeq and is a predicted model, not a curated record.
UUUGAGGUUUUUCACCUAUAUGCCAUGCGCUAUGUGAACCAUCAUACAAAAAAUAAAGAUGAGUCAACUAAAUUAAAGGCUCUUUGAGUGAAAUCCAGUUCAAACUUCACAGUGGAAACAAUCCUUUUCAAGCACACUGGUGUACAGAGCUGAUGGAGGAGAGAUGGAGAAGUUUGUGACCAGGGAAAGAAAAAUGUGACAAAUGUCUGCUCAACACGUCUUCCAGGAUCCAACAUUGGAGCUCGGACACAUGGGACCACAUUUUGCAUUUCAGGAUUUGUCACCCAGGAUGUGGUGGAAAACUUUACUAGAACAGCAGCGGAUGAUUGUAGGGGAGAAGGUCAGUGAUGAGCUUUGUUAGACACAAUUAGAGAUGUUAGUACUGCUAUAUAACAUCUCCCGCUGUCUAAGCAGCACACUAAUGAGCAUAGUAGGUCAGGUGACUUUUGACCCAGUGUUCUGUCAUUCUCUGACACCUUGAACCCUGGUGAAAUGGUAAAGACAAAUAGGUGCCUUUGACUUUGCCAGAUCAACUGCUGCCUCAGAGAGGUGAUAGGAGAUUGAUUCCACUGUGGGCUGCUGAGCUCUUAGUGAUUCAAAUAUGCAUCUUAUAUGGUGCUAGAACCAAUGGUGCAAUUGGUUUAUCCUGCAAGUGAGUCAUUCUCUGAAUGCCGAGAAGAACCUUUUUACGCUCUAAUGCGCACCAGUAAUUGAGAACAUUAAAUGUUAAUUGAAAGCGCAUCUUGCUUACAGCUUGAUGAAAGAUUGAGAAGUAUAUUUUUGUCUGAAAAAUUCAAAAUCUGAUUAAAACAUUUAAGCAGA